UUGAGCCACAUUGGUGGUAGGUCGGGAGUAUGUGCCAUCAACAAAACUGAUUUUGUUUUUGGAUGAUAAGGCAACGAUCAUUUUACGUCUCCAGCCCCCAUAACCACUACCCGAGAAGGGAGCGGGAACGAGAGAUACCCCAGGGACAUCAGAAGAAUAUACAGAAAGGGGACUGGAAGAGUCUAGAGAAGGGGAGGCACCAGUACUUGUGUUAGAAGCCAUAGUAAUGAACCAGCUUAAAUGAACAACUGUUGCUACAAACAGAAUACAACCAAAACAGGUAUUCACACACGACAACCAACAAACGGAAUACAGUCAAGUCAAGUAUUCACAGACAACACCAGAUGCUCACAAGUACACAGUCAAAUAA
This 370-nucleotide long non-coding RNA is filed under the name Nicotiana benthamiana. Its description in RNAcentral is "long non-coding RNA (NBEN_LNC002042)". Lineage: Eukaryota; Viridiplantae; Streptophyta; Magnoliopsida; Solanales; Solanaceae. The record is from RNAcentral.